AGAGUUUGAUCAUGGCUCAGAUUGAACGCUGGCGGCAUGCCUUACACAUGCAAGUCGAACGGCAGCAUGAUCUAGCUUGCUAGAUUGAUGGCGAGUGGCGAACGGGUGAGUAAUACAUCGGAACGUGCCCUGUAGUGGGGGAUAACUAGUCGAAAGAUUAGCUAAUACCGCAUACGACCUGGGGGUGAAAGUGGGGGACCGCAAGGCCUCAUGCUAUAGGAGCGGCCGAUGUCUGAUUAGCUAGUUGGUGAGGUAAAGGCUCACCAAGGCGACGAUCAGUAGCUGGUCUGAGAGGACGAUCAGCCACACUGGGACUGAGACACGGCCCAGACUCCUACGGGAGGCAGCAGUGGGGAAUUUUGGACAAUGGGCGAAAGCCUGAUCCAGCAAUGCCGCGUGUGUGAAGAAGGCCUUCGGGUUGUAAAGCACUUUUGUCCGGAAAGAAGUGGCUCUGGUUAAUACCUGGGGUCGAUGACGGUACCGGAAGAAUAAGGACCGGCUAACUACGUGCCAGCAGCCGCGGUAAU
RNAcentral lists this ribosomal RNA (527 nucleotides) under uncultured bacterium. Its description in RNAcentral is "bacterial SSU rRNA". It matches the Rfam family "Bacterial small subunit ribosomal RNA", at positions 8 to 524 of the family's 1533-position model. The record is from RNAcentral.